RNAcentral lists this long non-coding RNA (202 nucleotides) under Elaeis guineensis (African oil palm). Its description in RNAcentral is "long non-coding RNA (EGUI_LNC044413)". The record is from RNAcentral. Lineage: Eukaryota; Viridiplantae; Streptophyta; Magnoliopsida; Arecales; Arecaceae.
UAUGUGCUGGUCCAAAUUUUUUUUUUUAAUAGCUGCUUUGAGAUUUGGGGUAGGAUGUUAUAGAAAGCUUAUUAGCUUCAGGGUAACCUUGCUAGCAUAUGGUUGAAUUCAAUUUUUUUUUUUACACUUGAAUUACUUAUUUGAUAAGAUUAAUUCAAACUAAUUACCUACAAAUAACCUAAAUGAAUUAGAUUCAUUGGGC